Long non-coding RNA from Zingiber officinale, 1614 nucleotides. RefSeq lists it as uncharacterized. The record is from RefSeq and is a predicted model, not a curated record. The transcript is spliced from 2 exons. Lineage: Eukaryota; Viridiplantae; Streptophyta; Magnoliopsida; Zingiberales; Zingiberaceae.
GUCGAUUAGUUCAGAGCCGCUGCUCGAAUAUCGUCUCAAUCUAUCUUCAUCCAGACAUGGUCAGUCUUCAUCUAUUCCAAUCGUCGAUCCUUCUUCGAUUUCAUCGUCCUAGGGUUUCAUCUCCAUCUGUUAGACGCCGCUGUCGUUGCUAUUCGUGCUAAUGAUAUUUUUCUCCGUCCCUUUCGUCGUUUCGUUUUAUUCUGAUGUGGUCUUUGUUGGAGUAUUGGGUAGUCGGCAAAGGGGAGAGCUGAUGAAACUGUAGCUCUGGAAAAACCCACAGGUUCUCUGUGGAAUCCCAGCCCUUUCCGCCCUAGAUCGAAUUCUAUGGCAUCAUAGUACGGGAUCUGCGCUUUUCGUUCCUCGCAACCCCGCCUCCAAUGGCCAUUACAUUCUUAUUCUCUUUCUCGACUGUGGAUCUUUGUUUCUUCCUGGAUUCUUUAUUUGGAUCUAAAUUCACAUUGUCAUAUUUGUUUUAAGUUGAUUGAUUCAAAAACUUUUGUUGAUUUCUAUUGCGUCCAUUAAAUCUUUUCGAUGCUUUAACUUAUUUCUUUUCUGUAAAAAUGGUUUUUUUGAAUGAUUGAAUCGAUUCUACAUUGGUUGCAUCUAGAUCAAUCAAAAUCAAAAUUCCAUUUUUGAAGAGUUAGGAAAUGAAAGAAAUCGAAAGCCUUGGCUCUUUCAAAUUAUGCUUUUUUUUUUGUUAGGUGGAACCAUUUUUUCGGCUUCAACAUUUCUUUUUUUUCUCGUCCAACGUCACAUCGGACGGUGAAAUUCUUUCCUAAACGCUACGCAGAUUUGUCUCUCUCAUAUUCGGCAUACGUCGUUCUAGGGUUUCCUUACCCUCCUGUUCACUGUUGCCGCCAUUGACGUUGGUGCUUCUUACUGGCCUUUUGUUCUAAUGAGGCAACCCCGCUGGAUUCCUCGGCGCGGAUGAUGAAUCGCGGAGAGUGAAGGGAGAGAGGGCCAGAAAUUCUUCUUCGGGUCAAAGGCCCGCAAUCAUCAGAUCUUGCCGCCUCCGCUGUCCUCAACAGGGCGUCUCCGGAUUACCACCAUGUUAGUUCACUUCUAUGUCGUUUUGAUCCUUCUUACGUAAGACGCUCAUCCUCUAAAUUCUUGUCCAGUGAAAUCAGUUUCUUUGGACAGAUUGAGUUUGCAUUUGAUCAUUCCUCGAAUGCUAAUUUGAUAUCAAAUUCUCUCUUAUAUCUUCCUCUGUCCGUAGAUGGUGAUCAAUUGCAAGUUUGCAGCUUUGUUGGAUUUCUAUGUGCUUACAUGUUCUCUAUAAUUUUGUCUUCACCCUGAUGGAAAAAUGUGACAGUGCGAUUCCCAGGUGACUGAUAAUUACUACAGACCGGAUCUAACUAAGGCUGCUCUUGCACGGCCUAGUUCAGUUCAUUGCAGUCUUAGAGUUGCAAACAACAAAGAAAUAGGUCGAAGGGUGGUGCCUGGCCACCAAUUUAGUUCUCCCUUCUCUAUUGGUGUUUGCGUACUCACUCUCAAUGCCCUAUCUUACUUUAGAAAAUAUUUUCUAUAUUCUGUCUUGUUUUAUUUAGAAAAGAUUUUUGUUAUUUUUAUUGGUUUUUAGUGUAUGGAUGUGGGGUCUUGAUUUUUAUGGGACAA